GCUUAGCUAUAAAUUAAAAUUACACCAAAAACACCAGGGAACUACGAGCCACGCUUAAAACCCAAUGGACUUGACGGUGCCCCAUCCAACUAGAGGAGCCUGUUCUAUAAUUGACAAUCCCCACUACACCUCACCCCUAUUUGCCUAUCAGCCUGUAUACCUCCGUCGCAAGUUUACUCUAUGAAUACCCAAAAGUAAACCUAAUUGGGACCCCCCCCCCACGUCAGGUCAAGGUGCAGCUAAUGUAGGGGUAGAUAAUGGGCUACAAUUUCUAAUAUAGAAUAAACGAACAAUCGCAUGAAACUGUGAUUUAAAGGAGGAUUUAGAAGUAAGAGCAGAAUAGAGAGCCCCUCUUAAACAGGACCUGGGUCGCGUACAAACCGCCCGUCACCCUCUUCAAUAAUUAUUAACCUAUAACUUAUACCAAGAAAUUCUCAAGAAGAGGUAAGUCGUAACAUGGUAAGUGUACUGGAAAGUGCACUUGGAUUAA
RNAcentral lists this ribosomal RNA (490 nucleotides) under Cornufer vitianus (Fiji ground frog). RNAcentral describes it as "Platymantis vitianus (Fiji ground frog) partial 12S ribosomal RNA". It matches the Rfam family "Bacterial small subunit ribosomal RNA", at positions 839 to 1525 of the family's 1533-position model. The record is from RNAcentral. Lineage: Eukaryota; Metazoa; Chordata; Amphibia; Anura; Ceratobatrachidae.